CUCCAAGGCAACACUUCAGACACAUUUUUCUAUGGAGCAUCUGUGUCCUACAGCUGUGAUUCUGGUUACUCACUCACUGGGGAUGCUUUCAUCACCUGCACAGCAUCAGGAACCUGGAGCCAUCCUCCUCCUCGAUGCAAAGAGAUCAGUUGUGUAUUCCCAGAAGUUCAAGGUGUUAAGAAAACCACAGCUGGAAAAACAUACAGAAUUGGGACUAACAUCACCCUUGAAUGUGAUGAUGGGUACACGUUGGAAGGCCUCAAUCAGAUUCAGUGCCAGGAGGACUUCAGCUGGGACCCUCCUGUGCCAGCCUGUAAACUCACUUCACCCAGGUCUGGCUCAAUAGGGCUAGGAAUUGCAGCUGCAGUCGUUCUGCUUCUCCUGGGUGCGACCAUUGCCUGGAAAAUUAUCUCUAAGCAGAAGGAAGGGUGAGACAUCCUGUUGGGUAUCCAUUCACAUUUUUCUUUGCCCAGUUAUGACUCCUAUACAGUCAAAACACCAGAAUUAGGAGGCUGGGUCUUUCAGUUUUGUAUUUUGAGCUUUAAGUUGCCAGCUGUACUGAGCGCAUCAACUUGGAGUCAACUGUGUGGUUGUGCUGUUUCAUUUCCAAGAUUCUUCCUAAGAGGAAAUCUGAGUGUUCACUAUGAACUGACAUAGUU
Molecule: long non-coding RNA, 659 nt
Filed under: Chrysolophus pictus (golden pheasant)
Lineage: Eukaryota; Metazoa; Chordata; Aves; Galliformes; Phasianidae
Description: lncRNA (ENSCPIG00010001274.1)
Source: RNAcentral